UAAUGUCUUACUUUUGUCAAUGACGAUUGUAUUGAUCAAGUCAGGCUCUGUUUCAGCGAAGUAAUCAAGACGCUCCAAUAUUUUACUGAAACAAAAUUACAAUUUAGCAUAAGAUAAUGAAGGAAUUGAUCAUUUAAACGCAGGUUUAGUCCUGUUUUCAUGGAUAGUUUUAUUCAUCAGGGGUGAUCUAAAGUUGCAACGUGGCUUCUUAUACCGGGUGACGGGUGUCCCCCCAAAAAAACUGGAUACUGUUUAAUUUCAUGUAACGUAAAAG
Non-coding RNA from Paramuricea clavata, 274 nucleotides. Lineage: Eukaryota; Metazoa; Cnidaria; Anthozoa; Malacalcyonacea; Plexauridae. The record is from the annotation of a GenBank genome assembly.